ACAAAGAAGAGUUUGAUCCUGGCUCAGGAUGAACGCUAGCGGCAGGCUUAACACAUGCAAGUCGAGGGGCAGCGGAGAGUAGCAAUACUCUGCCGGCGACCGGCGAAAGGGUGCGUAACGCGUGAGCAACUUGCCCGUAUCCGGGACAUAAGCGGUGGAAACGCCGUCUAAUUUCCCAUAACAACAGAGGCCGCAUGACCUUUGUUUGAAAGAUCCGUCGGAUACGGAUGGGCUCGCGAGACAUUAGCUAGUCGGCGUGGUAACGGCACACCGAGGCGACGAUGUCUAGGGGUUCUGAGAGGAAGGUCCCCCACACUGGAACUGAGACACGGUCCAGACUCCUACGGGAGGCAGCAGUGAGGAAUAUUGGUCAAUGGGCGCAAGCCUGAACCAGCCAUGCCGCGUGAAGGAAUAAGGCCCUAUGGGUCGUAAACUUCUUUUGUGGUGGAGCAAUAAGGUGCACGUGUGCAUCGAUGAGAGUACAUCACGAAUAAGCAUCGGCUAACUCCGUGCCAGCAGCCGCGGUAAUACGGAGGAUGCAAGCGUUAUCCGGAUUUAUUGGGUUUAAAGGGUGCGUAGGCUGUUCGACAAGUCAGGGGUGAAAGCCCAGUGCCUAACACUGGAACUGCCUUUGAUACUGCCGAGCUGGAAUACGGAUGCCGUGGGAGGAAUGAGUAGUGUAGCGGUGAAAUGCAUAGAUAUUACUCAGAACACCGAUUGCGAAGGCAUCUCACGAAUCCGUCAUUGACGCUGAGGCACGAAAGCGUGGGGAUCAAACAGGAUUAGAUACCCUGGUAGUCCACGCAGUAAACGAUGAUAACUAACCGUCGGCGAUACACAGUCGGUGGCCAAGCGAAAGCGAUAAGUUAUCCACCUGGGGAGUACGUUCGCAAGAAUGAAACUCAAAGGAAUUGACGGGGGCCCGCACAAGCGGAGGAACAUGUGGUUUAAUUCGAUGAUACGCGAGGAACCUUACCCGGGCUCGAACGGCAAGUGAAGGAUCAAGAGAUUGUGACGCCCUUCGGGGCACUUGUCGAGGUGCUGCAUGGUUGUCGUCAGCUCGUGUCGUGAGAUGUUGGCUUAAGUGCCAUAACGAGCGCAACCCUUGUCGCCAGUUACCAGCAAGUCAUGUUGGGGACUCUGGCGAGACUGCCACCGCA
Bacteroidales bacterium WCE2004 is the source of this 1160-nucleotide non-coding RNA. The record is from Rfam. NCBI's taxonomy places the organism in Bacteria, Pseudomonadati, Bacteroidota, Bacteroidia, Bacteroidales.